GGUACUAUGGCCGAGUUGGUCUAAGGCGUGGGACUCAAGCUUAUGAGUUUUAUCUCAUCUCGAAAGAGGCCUGGGUUCGAAUCCCAGUGGUACCA
Pneumocystis carinii B80 is the source of this 95-nucleotide non-coding RNA. NCBI's taxonomy places the organism in Eukaryota, Fungi, Ascomycota, Pneumocystomycetes, Pneumocystales, Pneumocystaceae. The record is from the annotation of a RefSeq genome assembly.